Molecule: transfer RNA, 76 nt
Filed under: Thermoleophilia bacterium
Lineage: Bacteria; Bacillati; Actinomycetota; Thermoleophilia
Description: tRNA-Gly
Rfam family: tRNA
About the family: Transfer RNA (tRNA) molecules are approximately 80 nucleotides in length. Their secondary structure includes four short double-helical elements and three loops (D, anti-codon, and T loops). Further hydrogen bonds mediate the characteristic L-shaped molecular structure. tRNAs have two regions of fundamental functional importance: the anti-codon, which is responsible for specific mRNA codon recognition, and the 3' end, to which the tRNAs corresponding amino acid is attached (by aminoacyl-tRNA synthetases). tRNAs cope with the degeneracy of the genetic code in two manners: having more than one tRNA (with a specific anti-codon) for a particular amino acid; and 'wobble' base-pairing, i.e. permitting non-standard base-pairing at the 3rd anti-codon position.
Source: RNAcentral
GCGGGUGUAGCUCAGCUGGUAGAGCUCCAGCCUUCCAAGCUGGUUGUCGCGGGUUCGACUCCCGUCGCCCGCUCCA